UACGAAGGGUGCUAGCGUUGUUCGGAAUUACUGGGCGUAAAGGGUGCGUAGGCGGCCUGAUAAGUGAGAUGUGAAAUACCUGGGCUUAACCUGGGAACUGCAUUUCAUACUGUUAGGCUAGAGCGAUUUAGAGGAAGAUGGAAUUGUGCGUGUAGAGGUGAAAUUCGUAGAUAUGCACAAGAACACCAGUGGCGAAGGCGAUCUUCUGGGAAUUGACUGACGCUAAUGCACGAAAGCGUGGGGAGCAAACAGG
Molecule: ribosomal RNA, 253 nt
Filed under: uncultured bacterium
Lineage: Bacteria
Description: partial 16S ribosomal RNA
Rfam family: Bacterial small subunit ribosomal RNA
Source: RNAcentral